GAACGGCAGCACGGGGGCAACCCUGGUGGCGAGUGGCGAACGGGUGAGUAACAUAUCGGAACGUGCCCUGGAGUGGGGGAUAACUAGUCGAAAGAUUAGCUAAUACCGCAUACGAUCUACGGAUGAAAGUGGGGGAUCGCAAGACCUCAUGCUCGUGGAGCGGCCGAUAUCUGAUUAGCUAGUUGGUGGGGUAAAAGCCUACCAAGGCAUCGAUCAGUAGCUGGUCUGAGAGGACGACCAGCCACACUGGGACUGAGACACGGCCCAGACUCCUACGGGAGGCAGCAGUGGGGAAUUUUGGACAAUGGGCGCAAGCCUGAUCCAGCAAUGCCGCGUGAGUGAAGAAGGCCUUCGGGUUGUAAAGCUCUUUUGUCAGGGAAGAAACGGUGAGGGCUAAUAUCCUUUGCUAAUGACGGUACCUGAAGAAUAAGCACCGGCUAACUACGUGCCAGCAGCCGCGGUAAUACGUAGGGUGCAAGCGUUAAUCGGAAUUACUGGGCGUAAAGCGUGCGCAGGCGGUUGUGCAAGACCGAUGUGAAAUCCCCGGGCUUAACCUGGGAAUGGCAUUGGUGACUGCACGGCUAGAGUGUGUCAGAGGGGGGUAGAAUUCCCCGUGUAGCAGUGAAAUGCGUAAAGAUGUGGAGGAAUACCGAUGGCAAAGGCAGCCCCCUGGGAUACACUGACGCUCAUGCCCAAAAGCGGGGGGAGCAAA
Molecule: ribosomal RNA, 712 nt
Filed under: uncultured bacterium
Lineage: Bacteria
Description: bacterial SSU rRNA
Rfam family: Bacterial small subunit ribosomal RNA
Source: RNAcentral